RNAcentral lists this ribosomal RNA (253 nucleotides) under uncultured bacterium. Its description in RNAcentral is "partial 16S ribosomal RNA". It matches the Rfam family "Bacterial small subunit ribosomal RNA", at positions 524 to 776 of the family's 1533-position model. The record is from RNAcentral.
GACAGAGGGUGCAAACGUUGUUCGGAAUUACGGGGCGUAAAGCGCGUGUAGGCUGUCCUGCAAGUCGGAUGUGAAAGCCCUGGGCUCAACCUAGGAAGUGCAUUCGAAACUGCAGGACUGGAGUCCUGGAGAGGAAGGCGGAAUUCUCGGUGUAGAGGUGAAAUUCGUAGAUAUCGAGAGGAACACCGGUGGCGAAGGCGGCCUUCUGGACAGUGACUGACGCUGAGACGCGAAAGCGUGGGGAGCAAACAGG